This is a long non-coding RNA of Aotus nancymaae (Ma's night monkey), 2938 nucleotides long. The record is from Ensembl. Lineage: Eukaryota; Metazoa; Chordata; Mammalia; Primates; Aotidae.
AUGGGGAUCAUACUGAGCUGUUGUGUGCACCCCAAGGUCAGCCCCGAGUCGGACCAGGAUGAGGGGUCAGGGUGUCCUCCUGACUCUGAAAUCUGUGAGGCAGCAGCUGAGGACACGACAGCAGCAGCAGCAGCGCCCACGGCUACUGCCGUAGCACCUGUGGACUUGACUGUUGAAGCUGGUGAGGGCCUUCCUGUGCAGGACAUCUGUGAUGGGGAGAUACCUGAAGCACAAGAAAUAGGAGAAAACAGCGGUACAAACCAUAAAUAUACGGAUCUAUUUUCUUGGAAAUUCAAUUCAUGCUCAACAAUUUUCCUUGAGGACAACACAGCCAUCUGCCCUCAUUUUCACAUGACACUAAAAUCAGAUGCAGAUAGAACUUUUGAAGUAUUUGACGAACGUAUAUACCCACUUAACCAAGGAGAGGUUCUGGAAGAAGACUUUAUGUCUGAUCCUCCACACAGAAAAAUUUUCACCUUUAUGGUUACUCUGUUUUGUGUCAAAAGGCUAGAUGCUGACUCAGCAAUCAGAAGUUUGGUAUACAUACGACGACUUGUAGAGUGUGCUGAUAUCGACAUUUGUCCAACCAACUGGAGGAGGAUUAUCUUCGGAGCCAUUCUUGUCAUCAAAAGUGUGAUCCAUGAGGUUUUGUGCGAUGAGUACUUCUGCAAGCUCUUUGAGAAAACUACAGUUGGGGAUAUGUGAGUUUGUUCAGUUUUUGUGAACUUUCUAACCAUUUUUGAAUACUUUAUUUGCUCCCAUAAACUUAAACACUUUGAGAAAUGCUUUUAAAGGUUACAUUAUGCAGAUAAUAAGAAUAGGCAUAAAUACCACCUACUCUUUCUCCCCAGCUUUAGAAGAACAGUUCAUAUUUUUCACUAUUCAUUGGUAGGUCUUGGUAAAGUGCUAUUGUAAUAAUCUCAUAAAUGGAAAAGUAUUUUUCUGGUGCAUAUUUUUGGCAAAUAUCUUACCAGUGUACAAUGAGAAACAUAAUAGUACAGUCAAUUUCCUUAGGGCUUUUUACAAGCUGUCUGCAAGUUCCAGUCUCUUUGUAAGGAGCACAUGUCUGGCCUUUGAAAUAAUUGUUUGGCCAUUGACAGGUCUGGGGCCUCUGGAUUGUGAAGUAUAGCUUCACCCUGAGUCAUACAUUGUGUAUUUGCGUUUGCUGGUGUUCUCCCAGCUUUUCUCUGAAGAUCUGUUUUAUAGAAACCUUGAGAUACAGAAUAGCCACAGAUCCCUGUGCCCCUGUCCUCUCCCUCUUCAGAGUGUUGCAUCAUUGGGCUGAUGAGUUAGAAGUUCCAGUGUUCCCCUCAGGCAGUCUGAGAAACAUUGCUGGAGCAUCACCCAAUGCUCGCCACACUCAGGAGAUUCCCAGCUCAUUAAUGCAACCACAGCAGCACUUGGGGGGCCCCGAGUUAUCUAUGAGAAUGCAAGAAAUCUUGCUGAAUCAUGGGGUUGCUUAUAGAUUGCAACAUGACACUGAAACAGGAGCUUCAUGGGUCUUUCUUUCAGUGUGACCUCAUGACUGCUGUAAAGGGAAGGGUCUUGGAGCUGGUUGGUAGGGUGAGCCAAGGAGGCAUUUCCAGCACAGACUCUCACAGUGUCCACUAGACAGCGAGAAUGGCAUUGUGGGUGACACUUAGGAAAAUCUGAAGGAACACCUGUUGAUGACAUAGAAGCAUAUGAAGAUGAAGAUCCUCGGGCAGUGGCAAGAGGUUUUUUUUGUUUUGUUUUGUUUUUUGUUUGUUUGUUUGUUUGUUUUUGCGUUUGCCUAUUACUCCAGAUAAGACUGUGAUUCAGGAUGUAUGCAGUCACAAAUAGAAGUCUCUGCCAAUUGUGCUCCCCACAGGAAUAACAACUUUAGCAACUCUCUAAAUCAAAAAGCACCACAAUAAGAACUGAAAAUUAUUUAAAUGUUCAUAUGAUGUGGUUUUAAUGCCAUAUCAGUGAAAGAGGCACUGAACAGCAUAGAAAACUGUAAACUUUUCUGUAUUUGGUAAUCUACCAGGGUUCCAAUCCAAUGUGCUUUCUUAUAUUUAUAAGGUCUAUCUCCAGUGUGUAUUAUCAUGGGUCUUGAGCAAAUAUCAUGUAAAUGAAGGCAUUUCUACAUUCUAUACAUUCAUAGGUUUUAUUUCAGAAAUGAGUUCUUAUCUUCCUGUGGAACUGGAACAACUGAAGACCUUACCACAUGUUUCUAUUUAUAAGGAAUUUCCCAUUGAAUCCUUUCAUGUUUUCAAAGAAAUAAAAAAGCUGAAGCCUUUACCAUGUUUCUUAAGAUUAUGUCAUUUUUCUCCAUAUUACAUGUGAAUAUGUCUUUGAAAGCAUAGGGGAAAAUCAAGUUUAUUAACACAUUUUUUGCAUUCUUGUUUCAUUUCCGGUACAAGUUUUUUCCUGAGAUUUCAAAGGGAACUGGGAAAGUUGCAUGCUUUCUUGUAUUUCUUUGCUAGAUUGAGUUCUGUCCAGUGUGAGUUAUUUGAUGAAUACUAAUAAACUAGAGCACAUGAUGGCUUUACCACAUUUCUUACAUAAGAAUAAUGUUUUUGAAGAUAGCCCCGUGAACUAACACGGUCCUGUGUUGGUUUUGUUGUGUUUCUCCUUCCCCAGGUAUAGGUUGAAAAGAUCCUUCUUGGAGCUAAUUAAUUAUAAUACCAACAUUCCUGAAAGCGUUUUUACCGGAUACUAUUUCUAUCUCCGUCACUUGGCAUUCAGUCAUGGCCUGGGUAUGCCACCUUACCUUCUUGACAGAGCAAGAGCAUGGAAACUGCACGUAAGGCUAUGAAGUUACUAAGUGGGUUUUCAGUCAAACACCAGUGCUAACAUUUGUGACUAGGUCAUAUUAAGUAGUGAUUAGAAAAAUGGAAAGCUUCAAAAUUAACAUACUGAAGAGCUUAUUAACCUUUUGNNNNNNNNNNGGUAUAUCUGCUAGGAAGAGAAAGGA